CCCAGUACCGAGCGAGCCGGUCACUGCACCAUGUUCCGGGUAAUUGUGGCGCUACUUUUGUCCUAUGUGCGUUUGGCUGAGUCUAUAACACAGUCACCGAUAUCGUAUGUAACCAAGCUCGGUAAAAGUGCCAGGUUUAAAUGUACCGUAGACAGCGGCAGCACCACGGUCCAUUGGUACCAGCGCCGGGAAGGUCAGGCGCCCUCCAGAAUACUUUAUUAUGGCAGCAGCGUCGUACGGGAUCCGGAAUUCGGCAGCAGGUUUAAAGCGGAUAAGAGGAACACUUUGUGCACUUUGAUCAUCAAUAACAUCGAGAAGGAAGACGCUGCCACAUAUUACUGCGCCUAUUGGGACAGCACAGUGUUCAACAGAGACUGAAAGCCUUUACAAAUACACGGCGCUUCAGCUCGGUCUACACUCAGCUCCCACACCAACAACACCAGCUUGCAUUUAUAAAGCGCCUUUA
Non-coding RNA from Stegostoma tigrinum, 466 nucleotides. The record is from the annotation of a RefSeq genome assembly. NCBI's taxonomy places the organism in Eukaryota, Metazoa, Chordata, Chondrichthyes, Orectolobiformes, Stegostomatidae.